CCUACGGGUGGCAGCAGUGAGGAAUAUUGGUCAAUGGGCGCGAGCCUGAACCAGCCAAGUCGCGUGAGGGAUGAAGGUUCUAUGGAUCGUAAACCUCUUUUAUAAGGGAAUAAAGUGUGGGACGUGUCCUAUUUUGUAUGUAUCUUAUGAAUAAGGAUCGGCUAACUCCGUGCCAGCAGCCGCGGUAAUACGGAGGAUCCGAGCGUUAUCCGGAUUUAUUGGGUUUAAAGGGUGCGUAGGCGGCCUUUAAGUUAGAGGUGAAAGUCCGUGGCGUAACCUUAGAAUUGCCUUUGAAACUGGGGGGCUAGAGUGUGUUUGAGGCAGGCGGAAUGCGUGGUGUAGCGGUGAAAUGCUUAGAGAUCACGCAGAACCCCGAUUGCGAAGGCAGCCUGCCAAGCCAUGACUGACGCUGAUGCACGAAAGCGUGGGGAUCAAACAGGAUUAGAUACCCCUGUAGUC
Molecule: ribosomal RNA, 459 nt
Filed under: uncultured bacterium
Lineage: Bacteria
Description: partial 16S ribosomal RNA
Rfam family: Bacterial small subunit ribosomal RNA
Source: RNAcentral